AGAUUCAAUAGAAGAGAUUAUACUUGAGGGAUCCUUGAAGAAGGAAAGAGCAUAGACAAGUAGAGAGGUUAAGACAUACUUGAGUAAGAUCAGACGACCGCCAAAAAAAGGGAAGCGACUCUUCCAUCCAUAUGACAUGUUCUUUAUAUGAGCUAUCAUCGGUUCCCAAAAAGCCAAACGACGCGGAUCACCACCAAUAGAAACCUAGAUAAAGGAAAGACACAUUUCCCACUCUACAGCACAGAGCCUAUGCGGCCUCAUGUAACUAGGAAUCAGGGAUAUUAACCCUUACCUGCAAACUCUUGUUGAAAUUAACCUUCAAAAUCAACAUAGACUCGAACACCACCAAGAAGGCUUAAAGCGCAUGGACAUUCACCCAGGUUUUAGACCCGACCAGCAGCGUAUCAUCGGCAAACUGAAGGUGUGAGACCGAAACCCGAAACAUGAUUUUGUUCUCCAACAUUAUACCCCGUAAACAAAUUACUCUCAACCAUAGCAUGCAUCAUCACAUUCAAACCUUCGGCUGUUAGAAGAAAAAGAAAAUGAGAAAGUGGAUCCCCUUGUCUUAAACCCCUCUCAAGAGGGAACUCAUCAGUGGGACUACCGUUAACCAAGAUUGACGUUGUCGUCGUGCUAACACAUUCUCUAAUCCAUUUUCGCCACAACGUCGAAAAAGACAUAUGUCCCAUAACAUUAUCCAGAUAGCCCAGUCCAUCGAAUCAUAGGAUUUCUCGAAAUCCACCUUUAAUAACAACAAUUCCUUGUUAUACCUACGCGCCUCAUCAACCACCUCAUUCGCAAUGAGGAUUCCAUCGAGGAUUUGCACAUCCUUUACGAACGCACUUUGCGACUCAAAAAUGACACUACCAAUACUGGAUGGAAAAUUGAAGGUGUAAAACGAGACUUGGCUGAUAUAUGUGAUACGUACUAUUCACAUAAAACCGUUGGAACGAAGAAUUUGCGAUCUGUCAAUGAAGUGGUGAAUCACUUACUUCCUGAAGGAUACCCCAAGUUACAUUGCAAGAAGGGAAAAUUAAAGGGCAAUGAAGUUAAGGAUGAAAACAGUAAUCUUGAAUCGACGGGAAA
Molecule: long non-coding RNA, 1086 nt
Filed under: Trifolium pratense (red clover)
Lineage: Eukaryota; Viridiplantae; Streptophyta; Magnoliopsida; Fabales; Fabaceae
Description: long non-coding RNA (TPRA_LNC003953)
Source: RNAcentral